UACGUAGGGGGCUAGCGUUGUCCGGAAUCAUUGGGCGUAAAGCGCGCGUAGGCGGCCAGAUAAGUCCGGUGUGAAAGUCAAAGGCUCAACCUUUGAAUGCCGCUGGAAACUGUCUGGCUAGAGUCCGGAAGGGGCGAGUGGAACUCCUGGUGUAGCGGUGAAAUGCGCAGAUAUCAGGAAGAACACCUAUGGCGAAGGCAGCUCGCUAGGACGGUACUGACGCUGAGGCGCGAAAGCGUGGGGAGUGAACAGG
RNAcentral lists this ribosomal RNA (253 nucleotides) under uncultured bacterium. Its description in RNAcentral is "partial 16S ribosomal RNA". It matches the Rfam family "Bacterial small subunit ribosomal RNA", at positions 524 to 776 of the family's 1533-position model. The record is from RNAcentral.